Molecule: ribosomal RNA, 343 nt
Filed under: uncultured bacterium
Lineage: Bacteria
Description: partial 16S ribosomal RNA
Rfam family: Bacterial small subunit ribosomal RNA
Source: RNAcentral
UGGAUGAUGAAGCUUUCGGUCGUAAACUCGUGUNNAGGGAGACAAGUGCUAGUGAAUAAGCUGGCACNUGACGGUACUANCCAGAAGCCACGGCUAANUACGUCCAGCAGCCGCGUAAUACGUAGGUGCAAGCGUAUCCCGAAUUAUUGGGCGUAAAGCGCGCGCAGUGGGUUUCUNAAGUCUGAUGUGAAAGCCCACGGCUCANCGUGGGAGGGUCAUUGGAAACUGGGAGACUGNAGUGCAGAAGAGGAAAGUGGAAUUCCAUGUGUAGCGGUGAAAUGCGUAGAGAUAUGGAGGAACACCAGUGGCGAAGGCGACUUUCUGGUCUGUAACUGACACUGAG